UACGUAGGCAGCGAGCGUUGUUCGGAAUUACUGGGCGUAAAGAGUGUGUAGGCGGUGCUCCCAGUCUGUUGUGAAAUCCCACGGCUCAACCGUGGAACUGCUGGGUAUACUGGUUGUCUUGAGCCAGCUAGGGGUGAGCGGAACAGACGGUGGAGCGGUGAAAUGCGUAGAUAUCGUCUGGAACGCCGAAGGUGAAAACAGCUCGCUGGGGCUGCGCUGACGCUGAGACACGAAAGCCAGGGGAGCGAACGGG
RNAcentral lists this ribosomal RNA (253 nucleotides) under uncultured bacterium. RNAcentral describes it as "partial 16S ribosomal RNA". It matches the Rfam family "Bacterial small subunit ribosomal RNA", at positions 524 to 776 of the family's 1533-position model. The record is from RNAcentral.